Molecule: long non-coding RNA, 119 nt
Organism: Bufo bufo (common toad)
Lineage: Eukaryota; Metazoa; Chordata; Amphibia; Anura; Bufonidae
Exons: 3
Source: RefSeq, a predicted model, not a curated record
AGGUGAUUGACACACCCGGCCGUCCACAUGAUGUAAUGCGAUUCCUCAGACCAGGUGCCUUCUUCCUAUAGUGCACCCGGUGCCAUCUCUCCCCCAGGUAAGUGACGCACACAAAUCCG